GACGAACGCUGGCGGCGUGCUUAACACAUGCAAGUCGAGCGAGAAAGAGGGGCAACCCUUGAGUACAGCGGCGGACGGGUGAGGAACACGUAGGUAAUCUGCCCUUCGAUGGAGGACAACGGUCCGAAAGGACCGCUAAUACUGCAUACGUUCCCCGGGUCCUCGGGCCUGGGGAGGAAAGCCUCGCAAGGGGCGUCGGAGGAGGAGCCUGCGUCGCAUCAGCUAGUUGGUGGGGUAACGCCACC
This 245-nucleotide ribosomal RNA is filed under the name uncultured bacterium. RNAcentral describes it as "partial 16S ribosomal RNA". It matches the Rfam family "Bacterial small subunit ribosomal RNA", at positions 28 to 269 of the family's 1533-position model. The record is from RNAcentral.